CCCAGACUCCUACGGGAGGCAGCAGUGGGGGAUAUUGCACAAUGGGGGGAACCCUGAUGCAGCGACGCCGCGUGGGUGAAGGAGCGUUUCGGCGCGUAAAGCCCUAUCGGCAGGGAAGAAGGAGGACGGUACCUGACUAAGAAGCCCCGGCUAACUACGUGCCAGCAGCCGCGGUAAUACGUAGGGGGCAAGCGUUAUCCGGAUUUACUGGGUGUAAAGGGGGCGCAGACGGCAGCGCAAGCCAGGAGUGAAAGCCCGGGGCCCAACCCCGGGACUGCUCUUGGAACUGCGCGGCUGGAGUGCAGGAGGGGCAGGCGGAAUUCCUGGUGUAGCGGUGAAAUGCGUAGAUAUCGGGAGGAACACCAGUGGCGAAGGCGGUUUACUGGACCACAACUGACGCUGAGACACGAAAGCGUGGGGAGCAAACAGGAUUAGAUACCCGAGUA
Molecule: ribosomal RNA, 446 nt
Filed under: uncultured bacterium
Lineage: Bacteria
Description: partial 16S ribosomal RNA
Rfam family: Bacterial small subunit ribosomal RNA
Source: RNAcentral